Neltuma alba is the source of this 778-nucleotide long non-coding RNA. RefSeq lists it as uncharacterized. The record is from RefSeq and is a predicted model, not a curated record. The transcript has 3 exons. NCBI's taxonomy places the organism in Eukaryota, Viridiplantae, Streptophyta, Magnoliopsida, Fabales, Fabaceae.
AAGAAUUCAUCAACAGAAGAAUAGUAAUAUAAGAAAGACUUGGAAAAAUUGACUUCAUUAUUAUAUAUUUUCUUAGCCAGAGGGUUUUCUUGAGAUCCGAGAGUGCUUAUUCUCAUAUUCAGACCUUCUUCAAUAAUACUACCAUCGACUUUAGAAGCCUCAAAUCUCAUUACUGAAGUUUCCCCUGUGCUCUGUGCUGUCUCUCUGUGUGCUCCAUUUUCCCGGUAAGAGCGUGCGUUGAUUCAUCCUUUAAAGUAUUCUCUCAAUUUGCUAACUUUGAUUUGUUAUUCUCCUUCCCCCCCCCCCUCAAAGUGAUUGAUUUGAACAGAAAAACUGAAAAAAGAAGACUACUCUCUUAGCUUGUUGAAGCCUGAAGGCAUCGUCAAGCAAUCUGCAAUCUGCAAAAAUAACUUGUGUGCCCUGAUCUCUGAUCAUAUUUAGUUCUUCAUUGUAGCUGUCACGCGUCUGAUUGCUUUGUCUUUCUACAAAAUUAACAAAAAAAUUUACAAAAAAAAAGCAAAAAAGAAGACUUCAGUACUUCACCGUCCAAGAAUCAUCAGAGCAACGUCGGCACCUCUGGGGGAAAAAAAACAGAGAAGGUUUUAUACACUGAUUAGUUCGUGUUUGGGUUCUUGAUUUAUGGUUUUCCAUUCGGUGGAUUGUUUUUAAUUUCUACAAAUUAAAAAAGAAAUGUCAAAGGAUCAUUCAAAAGUAUUGGAAUCUCUCAAGAAAGGUUAAUAUUCUGGUCCUUGACCUCUACCAAUAUUGAGCCAUUUGG